This is a non-coding RNA of Schmidtea mediterranea, 65 nucleotides long. NCBI's taxonomy places the organism in Eukaryota, Metazoa, Platyhelminthes, Tricladida, Dugesiidae. The record is from Rfam.
AGUUUAAAGGCUUUCAUUAUGAUUUUAAAAUGUUAUUUUGAGAUCAUUAUGAAAGCUUUUUACUG